CGCAUCUGUGCAUGCAGCAUAUCAAUAAGCGGAGGAAAAGAAACUAACAAGGAUUCCCCUAGUAACGGCGAGUGAAGCGGGAAGAGCUCAAAUUUGAAAUCUUAAAGGGUUUCCCUUUACGAAUUGUAGUUUAAAGAAGUGUUUUCUGUUGAGGUUUUGGUAAAAGUUCUUUGGAAUAGGACAUCAUAGAGGGUGAGAAUCCCGUAUUUGACCUUUACUUUCAACUUUGUGAUACACUUUCAAAGAGUCGGAUUGUUUGGGAAUGCAGUCCAAAAUGGGUGGUAAAUUUCAUCUAAAGCUAAAUAUUGGCGAGAGACCGAUAGCGAACAAGUACCGUGAGGGAAAGAUGAAAAGAACUUUGAAAAGAGAGUUAAACAGUACGUGAAAUUGUCAAAAGGGAAGCGUUUGACACCAGUGUUGUUUUUCUGAAAAUCAAUUAAAGAACUGUUUAUGCUAAGCUGUUUAGACUUUAUCAGCUAACUGUUUAGUUUUGAGCUUUUUCUUUAAUGCACUUUUCAGUUAACAAGUCAACAUCAAUUUCUUUUGCUGUAAAAAAGCUUGAGGAAGGUGGCUUGAGAUUCGUCUUAAGUGUUUAUAGCCUCUUGCCUAUGCAGUCGGAGAGAUUGAGGUCUGCAGCGUAGAUCCUUCGGGGCUAAAUGCAUUUGUGCUAAGUUAUAGCAUUUUAUAGACAACUUGUUGACUAUGAUUUGUCUUGUAGCUUACUCGCUUAUGUUAUUUUACCUACGCUUAGGAUGUUGAGCGCAUGUCUCUCUCU
RNAcentral lists this ribosomal RNA (775 nucleotides) under uncultured Neocallimastigales. RNAcentral describes it as "partial large subunit ribosomal RNA". It matches the Rfam family "Eukaryotic large subunit ribosomal RNA", at positions 26 to 616 of the family's 3401-position model. Lineage: Eukaryota; Fungi; Neocallimastigomycota; Neocallimastigomycetes; Neocallimastigales. The record is from RNAcentral.